AGGUAAUAGUCCUGUAUGUUAAACGAGAAGACUUUAGAUAUGAUCCAGAGUACCACGGGACACGUGAAACCCUGUGGGAAGCAGGAGGGACCACCCUCCAAGGCUAAAUACUACCUAGUGACCGAUAGCGUAUAGUACCGUGAGGGAAAGGUGAAAAGAACCCCGGGAGGGGAGUGAAAUAGAACCUGAAACCCUGCACUUACAAGCUGUGGAAGCACAUUUCUUGUGUGACCGCGUACUUUUUGUAGAACGGGCCAACGAGUUACGUUAAGUAGCAAGGUUAAGCACUUAAGGUGCGGAGCCGUAGCGAAAGCGAGUUUUAACUGAGCGUUCAGUUACUUGACGUAGACCCGAAACCGGGCGACCUACCCAUGAGCAGGAUGAAGCGAAAGUAAAAUUUCGUGGAGGUCCGAACCCACGAGCGUUGAAAAGCUCGGGGAUGACUUGUGGGUAGCGGUGAAAUUCCAAUCGAGCCCGGAGAUAGCUGGUUCUCCCCGAAAUAGCUUUAGGGCUAGCCUCAAGGUGAGAGAUACGGAGGUAGAGCACUGAAUGUCCUAGGGG
Molecule: ribosomal RNA, 561 nt
Filed under: Clostridioides difficile
Lineage: Bacteria; Bacillati; Bacillota; Clostridia; Peptostreptococcales; Peptostreptococcaceae
Description: partial 23S ribosomal RNA
Rfam family: Bacterial large subunit ribosomal RNA
Source: RNAcentral